AUUGAACGCUGGCGGCAGGCCUAACACAUGCAAGUCGAACGGUAACAGGAAACAGCUUGCUGUUUCGCUGACGAGUGGCGGACGGGUGAGUGAUGUCUGGGAAACUGCCUGAUGGAGGGGGAUAACGACUGGAAACGGUAGCUAAUACCGCAUAACGUCGCAAGAUCAAAGAGGGGGACCUUCUGGCCGCUUGCCAUCGGAUGUGCCCAGAUGGGAUUAGCUACUAGGUGGGGUAACGGCGACCCGAGGCGACGAUCCCUAGCUGGUCUGAGAGGAUGACCAGCCACACGGGAACUGAGAAACGGUCCAGACCCCUACGGGAGGCGGAAGUGGGGAAUAUUGCACAAUGGGGGCAAGCUUGCUGCAGCAAUGCCGCGUGUAUGAAGAAGGCCUUCGGGUUGUAAAGUACUUUCAGCGGGGAGGAAGGGAGUAAAGUUAAUACCUUUACUCAUUGACGUUACCCGCAGAAGAAGCACCGGCUAACUCCGUG
RNAcentral lists this ribosomal RNA (490 nucleotides) under uncultured bacterium. RNAcentral's name for it is "partial 16S ribosomal RNA". It matches the Rfam family "Bacterial small subunit ribosomal RNA", at positions 30 to 507 of the family's 1533-position model. The record is from RNAcentral.